ANUCUAUUCAGAGGAACCUGUCCUGUAAUUGAUAAUCCACGAUGAACCUUACUUAAGUUUGUUUUUCAGUUUAUAUACCGUCGUUAUCAGAAUAUUUUAUUAGAAUAAUAAUUUUCUAUAAUUUUAAUAGGAGUAUAUAUCAGAUCAAGGUGUAGCUUAUAUUUAAGUAGAGAUGGGUUACAAUAAACAUAUUUAAACGGAUCUAAUUUUGAAAUAUUUUUAGUGAAGGUGGAUUUGAUAGUAAAAUUUUAAAGAUUGUGAAUUUGAUUUUAGCUCUAGAAUAUGCACACAUCGCCCGUCGCUCUUACUAUUAAGGUAAGAUAAGUCGUAACAUAGUAGAUGUACCGGAAGGUGUAUCUAGAAUGA
This 366-nucleotide ribosomal RNA is filed under the name Zeugodacus scutellatus. Its description in RNAcentral is "partial 12S rRNA". It matches the Rfam family "Microsporidia small subunit ribosomal RNA", at positions 800 to 1311 of the family's 1311-position model. The record is from RNAcentral. Lineage: Eukaryota; Metazoa; Arthropoda; Insecta; Diptera; Tephritidae.